RNAcentral lists this ribosomal RNA (470 nucleotides) under Escherichia coli. Its description in RNAcentral is "partial 23S ribosomal RNA". It matches the Rfam family "Bacterial large subunit ribosomal RNA", at positions 2461 to 2925 of the family's 2925-position model. RNAcentral also lists the same sequence under 1 other name. The record is from RNAcentral. Lineage: Bacteria; Pseudomonadati; Pseudomonadota; Gammaproteobacteria; Enterobacterales; Enterobacteriaceae.
AGGUACUCCGGGGAUAACAGGCUGAUACCGCCCAAGAGUUCAUAUCGACGGCGGUGUUUGGCACCUCGAUGUCGGCUCAUCACAUCCUGGGGCUGAAGUAGGUCCCAAGGGUAUGGCUGUUCGCCAUUUAAAGUGGUACGCGAGCUGGGUUUAGAACGUCGUGAGACAGUUCGGUCCCUAUCUGCCGUGGGCGCUGGAGAACUGAGGGGGGCUGCUCCUAGUACGAGAGGACCGGAGUGGACGCAUCACUGGUGUUCGGGUUGUCAUGCCAAUGGCACUGCCCGGUAGCUAAAUGCGGAAGAGAUAAGUGCUGAAAGCAUCUAAGCACGAAACUUGCCCCGAGAUGAGUUCUCCCUGAGACUUAGAGUCUCCUGAAGGAACGUUGAAGACGACGACGUUGAUAGGCCGGGUGUGUAAGCGCAGCGAUGCGUUGAGCUAACCGGUACUAAUGAACCGUGAGGCUUAACCUU